Molecule: ribosomal RNA, 586 nt
Filed under: uncultured bacterium
Lineage: Bacteria
Description: partial 16S ribosomal RNA
Rfam family: Bacterial small subunit ribosomal RNA
Source: RNAcentral
UGGGGAAUUUUGGACAAUGGGCGAAAGCCUGAUCCAGCAAUGCCGCGUGUGUGAAGAAGGCCUUCGGGUUGUAAAGCACUUUUGUCCGGAAAGAAAUCCUUGGCUCUAAUACAGUCGGGGGAUGACGGUACCGGAAGAAUAAGCACCGGCUAACUACGUGCCAGCAGCCGCGGUAAUACGUAGGGUGCAAGCGUUAAUCGGAAUUACUGGGCGUAAAGCGUGCGCAGGCGGUUUGCUAAGACCGAUGUGAAAUCCCCGGGCUCAACCUGGGAACUGCAUUGGUGACUGGCAGACUAGAGUAUGGCAGAUGGGGGGUAGAAUUCCACGUGUAGCAGUGAAAUGCGUAGAGAUGUGGAGGAAUACCGAUGGCGAAGGCAGCCCCCUGGGCCAAUACUGACGCUCAUGCACGAAAGCGUGGGGAGCAAACAGGAUUAGAUACCCUGGUAGUCCACGCCCUAAACGAUGUCAACUAGUUGUUGGGGAUUCAUUUCCUUAGUAACGUAGCUAACGCGUGAAGUUGACCGCCUGGGGAGUACGGUCGCAAGAUUAAAACUCAAAUGAAUUGACGGGGUCAUAGCUGUUUCCU